RNAcentral lists this ribosomal RNA (735 nucleotides) under uncultured Faecalibacterium sp. RNAcentral's name for it is "bacterial SSU rRNA". It matches the Rfam family "Bacterial small subunit ribosomal RNA", at positions 28 to 776 of the family's 1533-position model. The record is from RNAcentral. Lineage: Bacteria; Bacillati; Bacillota; Clostridia; Eubacteriales; Oscillospiraceae.
GACGAACGCUGGCGGCGCGCCUAACACAUGCAAGUCGAACGAGCGAGAGAGAGCUUGCUUUCUCAAGCGAGUGGCGAACGGGUGAGUAACGCGUGAGGAACCUGCCUCAAAGAGGGGGACAACAGUUGGAAACGACUGCUAAUACCGCAUAAGCCCACGGUGCCGCAUGGUACAGAGGGAAAAGGAGCAAUCCGCUUUGAGAUGGCCUCGCGUCCGAUUAGCUAGUUGGUGAGGUAACGGCCCACCAAGGCGACGAUCGGUAGCCGGACUGAGAGGUUGAACGGCCACAUUGGGACUGAGACACGGCCCAGACUCCUACGGGAGGCAGCAGUGGGGAAUAUUGCACAAUGGGGGAAACCCUGAUGCAGCGACGCCGCGUGGAGGAAGAAGGUCUUCGGAUUGUAAACUCCUGUUGUUGGGGAAGAUAAUGACGGUACCCAACAAGGAAGUGACGGCUAACUACGUGCCAGCAGCCGCGGUAAAACGUAGGUCACAAGCGUUGUCCGGAAUUACUGGGUGUAAAGGGAGCGCAGGCGGGAAGACAAGUUGGAAGUGAAAUCUAUGGGCUCAACCCAUAAACUGCUUUCAAAACUGUUUUUCUUGAGUAGUGCAGAGGUAGGCGGAAUUCCCGGUGUAGCGGUGGAAUGCGUAGAUAUCGGGAGGAACACCAGUGGCGAAGGCGGCCUACUGGGCACCAACUGACGCUGAGGCUCGAAAGUGUGGGUAGCAAACAGG